RNAcentral lists this ribosomal RNA (403 nucleotides) under uncultured bacterium. RNAcentral describes it as "bacterial SSU rRNA". It matches the Rfam family "Bacterial small subunit ribosomal RNA", at positions 362 to 757 of the family's 1533-position model. The record is from RNAcentral.
UUUUGGACAAUGGGCGAAAGCCUGAUCCAGCAAUGCCGCGUGUGGGAAGAAGGCCUUCGGGUUGUAAACCACUUUUGUACGGAACGAAAAGGUCUGCCCUAAUACGGUGGGCCCAUGACGGUACCGUAAGAAUAAGCACCGGCUAACUACGUGCCAGCAGCCGCGGUAAUACGUAGGGUGCAAGCGUUAAUCGGAAUUACUGGGCGUAAAGCGUGCGCAGGCGGUUAUACAAGACAGGCGUGAAAUCCCCGGGCUUAACCCGGGAAUGGCGCCUGUGACUGUAUAGCUAGAGUGUGUCAGAGGGGGGUAGAAUUCCACGUGUAGCAGUGAAGUGCGUAGAUAUGUGGAGGAAUACCAAUGGCGAAGGCAGCCCCCUGGGAUAACACUGACGCUCAUGCACGAA